GAUGAACGCUAGCGGGAGGCCUAAUACAUGCAAGUCGAACGGUAAAUGGUAGCAAUACUAUGAGAGUGGCGUACGGGUGCGUAACGCGUACACAACCUGCCUUGUACUGGGGGAUAGCCUCGGGAAACUGAGAUUAAUACCCCAUAAUUUUACGAAGUAGCAUUACUUUGUAAUUAAAGCUCCGGCGGUACAAGAUGGGUGUGCGUCCGAUUAGGUAGUUGGUGAGGUAACGGCUCACCAAGCCGACGAUCGGUAGCUGGUCUGAGAGGACGAUCAGCCAC
RNAcentral lists this ribosomal RNA (281 nucleotides) under uncultured bacterium. RNAcentral describes it as "partial 16S ribosomal RNA". It matches the Rfam family "Bacterial small subunit ribosomal RNA", at positions 28 to 311 of the family's 1533-position model. The record is from RNAcentral.